RNAcentral lists this ribosomal RNA (253 nucleotides) under uncultured bacterium. RNAcentral's name for it is "partial 16S ribosomal RNA". It matches the Rfam family "Bacterial small subunit ribosomal RNA", at positions 524 to 776 of the family's 1533-position model. The record is from RNAcentral.
UACGUAGGGUGCGUGCGUUAAUCGGAAUUACUGGGCGUAAAGCGUGCGCAGGCGGCGCCGCAAGUCAGGCGUGAAAUCCCCGAGCUUAACUUGGGAAUGGCGCUUGAAACUACGGUGCUGGAGUGUGGCAGAGGGAGGUGGAAUUCCACGUGUAGCGGUGAAAUGCGUAGAGAUGUGGAGGAACACCGAUGGCGAAGGCAGCCUCCUGGGCCAACACUGACGCUCAUGCACGAAAGCGUGGGGAGCAAACAGG